CGCGGGAAAUCUUACCGGGUCCGGACACACUGAGGAUUGACAGGCAAUAUAUUAGCAUAAAGAUUCGUCUUUAGCGCUAAUUGUUAAAUAUGCUAGUCCUUUCAUGAUUAUGUGAUAGGUGGUGCAUGGCCGUUCUUAGUUCGUGGAGUGAUCUGUCUGCUUAAUUGCGUUUCACUAAGGGCCCAUAAAUUCAAGGUAUGUUAGCAAAUGCUGCUCUAUUGACCCCUAAUAGGCUUAACUGUCUUUAGCGCGUGUCUCUACGAGUUCUUUAAAGCACUGCGCAUGCUGUUGGGUCCUGAAAGCAACGAACGUGACCGCAACGUCUUGUUGCCUCUCUAUAAUACCUUCUUAUUUUUAAUAAGAGUAUUUACCUGAGGCUAUUUUAAAACUAGACGGACCGCUGUUUCUUUCUUAAACCAGAGGAAGGUUGCGGCAAUAACAGGUCUGUGAUGCCCUUAGA
RNAcentral lists this ribosomal RNA (460 nucleotides) under Globorotalia inflata. RNAcentral describes it as "bacterial SSU rRNA". It matches the Rfam family "Eukaryotic small subunit ribosomal RNA", at positions 1204 to 1477 of the family's 1831-position model. The record is from RNAcentral. Lineage: Eukaryota; Foraminifera; Rotaliida; Globorotaliidae.